AAGGUCUUAGCUUAAUUAAAGUGAUUGAUUUGCAUUCAAUAGAUGCAGGGUGAAGUCUUGCAGUCCUUA
This 69-nucleotide transfer RNA is filed under the name Hylomyscus parvus. RNAcentral's name for it is "tRNA-Ala". It matches the Rfam family "tRNA". From Rfam's summary of the family: Transfer RNA (tRNA) molecules are approximately 80 nucleotides in length. The record is from RNAcentral. Lineage: Eukaryota; Metazoa; Chordata; Mammalia; Rodentia; Muridae.